GACGAACGUUGGCGGCAUGCUUAAUACAUGCAAGUCAACUGAAGCAGUGGUAGCAAUAUCGCUGUGGAGGUGGCGCACGGGUGAGUAACACGUAGGUAAUCUGCCUUCAGGUCUGGCAUAACUCCGGGAAACCGGGGCUAAUAGCAGAUGAUGCAGCGGCUCGACAUCGAGACAGUUGUUAAAGCUAUGGCGCCUGAAGAUGAGCCUGCGUCUGAUUAGCUAGUUGGCGGGGUAACGGCCCACCAAGGCAACGAUCAGUAGCUGGUCUGAGAGGAUGAUCAGCCACACUGGAACUGAGACACGGUCCAGACUCCUACGGGAGGCAGCAGUAAGGAAUAUUGCUCAAUGGGAGAAAUCCUGAAGCAGCAACGCCGCGUGAGGGACGAAGGGCUUUUGCUUGUAAACCUCUGUAGUGAGAGAAAAAAAUCCCAAUCUUUGGGACAUGAUGGUAUCUCAAAAGUAAGCCCCGGCUAACUACGUG
Molecule: ribosomal RNA, 481 nt
Filed under: uncultured bacterium
Lineage: Bacteria
Description: partial 16S ribosomal RNA
Rfam family: Bacterial small subunit ribosomal RNA
Source: RNAcentral